UCGAUCGGUCAAUAAUCAGCUUGCCCUUGAUCGAAUCCGAACACAACAAGGUCGUCGAGGUCGAACGUGCCAUCGUCGUCGUAAUUGAAGGGCGCCAUGUCGGCGAAGCCGUCACCGUAACAGUGCUGCAGGCCGGAGGUGACGUCCCCCUGGUCCGGCCCAGGCGUCGCGGCGGCGUUCCGCAUGGCCUCGGCGACCGCCGAGCUCCCCGCGGGGGUGAGGCUGCUCAGCACCUCCUCCUGCUCGCCGGAGCCGCCGACGGCCUCCAGCUUCAGCGGCCGGAGGCCCGCCAGCAGCGCGGCGUCCUUCUGGUCGGUCUGCUGGCUGGUGUUCCCGGAGGUCGUGGCGCUGGCGUUGGGCGCGAAGCUGAUGAGGUGGGAGCCGGCGUGGAGCUCGUCGGCGAUGCCGGCCGAGUGGAGCACGACCGGCGCGACGGAGGCGGGGUCCCGGCAGGUGUGCACGCCGAUGUAGGUGACCCUGAAGGCGUCCGGGUCGUCGUCGCAGCGCUGCACCUGCCGCUGCGCCGCGCACUGCUGGUCGUACUUGUGCGUGCACCGGA
Molecule: long non-coding RNA, 559 nt
Filed under: Setaria italica (foxtail millet)
Lineage: Eukaryota; Viridiplantae; Streptophyta; Magnoliopsida; Poales; Poaceae
Description: long non-coding RNA (SITA_LNC002258)
Source: RNAcentral